GGAUGAAGGCCUUCGGGUUGUAAACCGCUUUCAGCAGGGACGAGGCGAAAGUGACGGUACCUGCAGAAGAAGCCCCGGCUAACUACGUGCCAGCAGCCGCGGUAAUACGUAGGGGGCAAGCGUUAUCCGGAUUCAUUGGGCGUAAAGCGCGCGUAGGCUGCCCAGUAGGUCGAGAGUUAAAUCCGGGGGCUCAACCCCCGUCCGCUCCCGAUACCGCUGGGAUUCGAGUCUGGUAGGGGAAGGUGGAAUUCCCAGUGUAGCGGUGGAAUGCGCAGAUAUUGGGAAGAACACCGGUGGCGAAGGCGGCCUUCUGGGCCAUGACUGACGCUGAGGCGCGAAAGCUAGGGGAGCGAACAGGAUUAGAUACCCUGGUAGUCCUAGCCGUAAACGAUGGGCACUAGGUGUGGGGAGGCUUUACUUUCCGUGCCGACGCUAACGCAUUAAGUGCCCCGCCUGGGGAGUACGGCCGCAAGGUUAAAACUCAAAGGAAUUGACGGGGGCCCGCACAAGCAGCGGAGCAUGUGGCUUAAUUCGAAGCAACGCGAAGAACCUACCAGGGCUGACACUCAGAUGA
Molecule: ribosomal RNA, 574 nt
Filed under: Atopobium sp. oral taxon 416
Lineage: Bacteria; Bacillati; Actinomycetota; Coriobacteriia; Coriobacteriales; Atopobiaceae
Description: bacterial SSU rRNA
Rfam family: Bacterial small subunit ribosomal RNA
Source: RNAcentral